GGGGCUGUAGCCUAUUAGGUAAAAGCGCUGGCCUGAAAAGCCUGAGAUGUUGGUUCGAUUCCAACCGGCCCCACCA
This 76-nucleotide transfer RNA is filed under the name Escherichia phage ECO319P1. RNAcentral describes it as "tRNA-Phe". It matches the Rfam family "tRNA". From Rfam's summary of the family: Transfer RNA (tRNA) molecules are approximately 80 nucleotides in length. Their secondary structure includes four short double-helical elements and three loops (D, anti-codon, and T loops). Lineage: Duplodnaviria; Heunggongvirae; Uroviricota; Caudoviricetes; Grimontviridae. The record is from RNAcentral.